Long non-coding RNA from Peromyscus leucopus (white-footed mouse), 286 nucleotides. RefSeq lists it as uncharacterized. The transcript is spliced from 2 exons. The record is from RefSeq and is a predicted model, not a curated record. NCBI's taxonomy places the organism in Eukaryota, Metazoa, Chordata, Mammalia, Rodentia, Cricetidae.
ACGAGACGCGACGACGGCAGCGGCAGCAGCUGUAGUGCCGGAGGCAGCGGCGGAGGCCGAAGCCGGAACCCUCCUGACGUCACGUCCGACCCGAAACCAGAUGAAGCUUUUCUGAGGGAAGAUUACGAAGACGAGGUAUUCCCUGGCUCUCAUCCCUACCUAGUAAAGCACCCUGUCAGUAUCUUCAGUUAAAGUUAGACCUGGCCUAGACGUGUGAAACAGAUUUCACACCCCCAAUUCUCUGUCUUGGAAGAAAAGAAAAAAAAAAAAAAGCAUUUAUGCUAAA